AUACGAAGGGUGCGAGCGUUAAUCGGAAUUACUGGGCGUAAAGCGUACGUAGGCGGUUGGUUAAGUUAGAUGUGAAAGCCCCGGGCUUAACCUGGGAACUGCAUUUAAAACUGGCGAACUAGAGUUGAGUAGAGGGGAGUGGAAUUUCAGGUGUAGCGGUGAAAUGCGUAGAGAUCUGAAGGAACACCAGUGGCGAAGGCGACUCCCUGGACUCGAACUGACGCUGAGGUACGAAAGCGUGGGUAGCAAACGGGAUUAGAAACCCCAGUAGUCC
RNAcentral lists this ribosomal RNA (274 nucleotides) under uncultured bacterium. RNAcentral's name for it is "partial 16S ribosomal RNA". It matches the Rfam family "Bacterial small subunit ribosomal RNA", at positions 523 to 796 of the family's 1533-position model. The record is from RNAcentral.